AAUUUUUGUUAAAAUCAAACUAAGUUUAAUUUUGGACCCUUUGGACCUUAAUGUAGACCAAUUUGAAAACGGGACCAAAAAUUAAGAAUCUACAUUCAUAGUUAGAUUCGGCAUAUCAAAGAACCCCAAUUAUUUAAUUUUUGAUGAAAUCACACAAAGUUCAAUUUUGGACCCUUUGGGCCCCUUAUUCCUAAACUGUUAGGACCAAAACUCCCAAAAUCAAACCCAACCUUCCUUUUAUGGUCAUAAACCUUGUGUUUAAAUUUCAUAGAUUUCUAUUCACUUAUACUAAAGUUAUGGUGCGAAAACCAAGAAUAAUGCUUAUUUGGGCCCUUUUUUGGCCCUUAAUUCCUAAACUGUUGGAACCAAAACUCCCAAAAUCAAUCCCAACCUUCCUUUUGUGGUCAAAAACCUUGUGUCGAAAUUUCAUAGAUUUCUAUUCACUUAAACUAAAGUUAUAGUGCGAAAACCAAGAAAAUGCUUAUUUGGGCCCUUUUUGGCCCCUAAUUCCUAAAAUGUUGGGACCAAAACUCC
This 534-nucleotide long non-coding RNA is filed under the name Mytilus galloprovincialis (Mediterranean mussel). Lineage: Eukaryota; Metazoa; Mollusca; Bivalvia; Mytilida; Mytilidae. The record is from RNAcentral.